RNAcentral lists this unclassified non-coding RNA (300 nucleotides) under Hevea brasiliensis (rubber tree). Lineage: Eukaryota; Viridiplantae; Streptophyta; Magnoliopsida; Malpighiales; Euphorbiaceae. The record is from RNAcentral.
GUUCAUCCCUUGCUUUGUUUUUCUCCUGUAACUUCAAUAUACUAAACCUUCUGUACCAAGGCAUUUGCUGGUCUGUUGUGUGAACUUUAUCACAUCUCAUCAUAUCGAGGAAAAAGUUUCUUUGGAAGUUAAAGAAAAUUAAAGCUUUUUAUUUAUCCAAAAUUAUAUAAUUGUCAAAAGUCAAAAUGAAAGCAUUCAGAGGCAGAAGUUAACCAGGAAGCAUAUAACCAUAAACAUUACUUGUAAGCAGUAACCUAAUAUGUUAAAAAUUCAUGGCAAUGCAGGAUCAUCCCAAAGCUU